Nannospalax galili (Upper Galilee mountains blind mole rat) is the source of this 104-nucleotide small nuclear RNA. The record is from Ensembl. Lineage: Eukaryota; Metazoa; Chordata; Mammalia; Rodentia; Spalacidae.
GUGCUCACUUUGGCAGCAUGCAUAAUAAAAUUGGAACAAUAUAGAGAUUAGCAUGGCCCCUGUGCAAGGAUGACAUGGAAAUUUGUGAAGUGUUCCAUAAUUUU